GUGCUGCGUAGGCAAAUCCGUGCGGCUUGGCCAAGGCGUGAUGACGAGGAUCUUCGGAUCUGAAGUGAGUGAUACCCUGCUUCCAGGAAAAGCCUCUAAGCUUCAGUUACAGAUUGACCGUACCGCAAACCGACACAGGUGGGCAGGAUGAAAAUUCUAAGGCGCUUGAGAGAACUCAGGAGAAGGAACUCGGCAAAUUGAUACCGUAACUUCGGGAGAAGGUAUGCCUCGGUAGCGUGAAGCCCCUGCGGGUGGAGCGUGAUGAGGUCGCAGAGAAUCGGUGGCUGCAACUGUUUAAUAAAAACACAGCACUCUGCAAAGGCGAAAGCCGACGUAUAGGGUGUGACGCCUGCCCGGUGCCGGAAGGUUAAGUGAUGGGGUGCAAGCUCUUGAUCGAAGCCCCGGUAAACGGCGGCCGUAACUAUAACGGUCCUAAGGUAGCGAAAUUCCUUGUCGGGUAAGUUCCGACCUGCACGAAUGGCGUAAUGAUGGCCACACUGUCUCCUCCUGAGACUCAGCGAAGUUGAAAUGUUUGUGAAGAUGCAAUCUCCCCGCGGCUAGACGGAAAGACCCCAUGAACCUUUACUGUAGCUUUGCAUUGGACUUUGACGGGACUUGUGUAGGAUAGGUGGGAGGCUGUGAGGCGUGGUCGCCAGAUCGCGCGGAGCCAACCUUGAAAUACCACCCUGGUGUCGUUGAGGUUCUAACCUUGGUCCGUGAAUCCGGAUCGGGGACCGUGCAUGGCAGGCAGUUUGACUGGGGCGGUCUCCUCCCAAAGAGUAACGGAGGAGUACGAAGGUCUUCUAAGCACGGUCGGACAUCGUGCUCAUAGUGCAAUGGCAAAAGAAGGCUUGACUGCGAGACCCACAAGUCGAGCAGGUGCGAAAGCAGGUCAUAGUGAUCCGGUGGUUCUGUAUGGAAGGGCCAUCGCUCAACGGAUAAAAGGUACUCUGGGGAUAACAGGCUGAUUCCGCCCAAGAGUUCAUAUCGACGGCGGAGUUUGGCACCUUGAUGUCGGCUCAUCACAUCCCGGGGCUGUAGCCGGUCCCAAGGGUAUGGCUGUUCGCCAUUUAAAGUGGUACGUGAGCUGGGCUUAAAACGUCGUGAGACAGUUUGGUCCCUAUCUGCCGUGGGCGCUGGAUAUUUGAGGGGACCUGCUCCUAGUACGAGAGGACCGGAGUGGACGGAUCUCUGGUGUACCGGUUGUCACGCCAGUGGCAUCGCCGGGUAGCUAAAUCCGGAAGAGAUAAACGCUGAAAGCAUCUAAGCGUGAAACUCGCCUCAAGAUGAGAUAUCCCGGGGGUUCAACCCCCCUGAAGGGUCGUCCAAGACCAGGACGUUGAUAGGUCGGGUGUGGAGGUG
This 1362-nucleotide ribosomal RNA is filed under the name metagenome. RNAcentral's name for it is "bacterial LSU rRNA". It matches the Rfam family "Bacterial large subunit ribosomal RNA", at positions 1525 to 2875 of the family's 2925-position model. The record is from RNAcentral.